RNAcentral lists this transfer RNA (65 nucleotides) under Stenopus scutellatus. RNAcentral's name for it is "tRNA-Asp". Lineage: Eukaryota; Metazoa; Arthropoda; Malacostraca; Decapoda; Stenopodidae. The record is from RNAcentral.
AAAAAAUUAGUUAAAGUUUUAUAACAUAAGCUUGUCAAGCUUAAAUUAUCAAUAGAUAUUUUUUA